UCUAGGAGGCGUUGGUAGUACACGCGACGCGCCUGUUCCAAAAUGCGCUAGUCUGAAACUUCCCAAACGGAAAUAUCACUUCGUACGGUUUUCUUGCGAACUCCAUGCUUGUCAAGUUCUAUUUGCGUUAGUUCUGCAAGUCAUCUGUCCGUACAAGCUAGGCAUUCAAGUUGUGCGGUGGAGCCCAUGCUGUCCCACUUUAUGAGCAGAAGUCUUGGGCUGCUGGUCCAUAGACGGGAAUGAGUGGCUGAGUGAGUGACAGCUACACAUAUGGCGGAUGCCCCACGUGUCUGAUGCAGCACUUAACUACUACGUAUUUCUUUAAAUAAAAACUUCUGUUUUCCAUGCACUCCA
Long non-coding RNA from Rhipicephalus microplus (southern cattle tick), 354 nucleotides. The record is from RefSeq and is a predicted model, not a curated record. NCBI's taxonomy places the organism in Eukaryota, Metazoa, Arthropoda, Arachnida, Ixodida, Ixodidae.